CCAACAUUCAGCCUGCAUGUCUGCUGCUACAGAGGAGAAAAGCAUGGCUUCCACCUCCUUCCACCUCCGCCUUCCAAAUUUCACACAGGCUGAAGAGGCAGCGGCUACCCAAGAGAAGCGUAAGAGAGCAAGCAAAAGAGCCAUCGGGCCUCUUCGAGCCUAAGCACGGAACCAGCCCCAAGCCCCGAGCCCCAAGCCAGGGGAUGGGAAAGUACACUGUGGCCACGAGCAGACACAGCAGGAGCGGGGAUGCGGGGAGGGCCCAUAAUUCUCUCUCCCAGAAUGUGACAGAGUCCUGGGUCGGAGGCUACAACACGGUGGCCCUGCUCUUCUAGGCGUCACCUACGAAUGGCGCAGAGUGAAA
Neofelis nebulosa (Clouded leopard) is the source of this 364-nucleotide long non-coding RNA. RefSeq lists it as uncharacterized. The record is from RefSeq and is a predicted model, not a curated record. The transcript is spliced from 2 exons. Lineage: Eukaryota; Metazoa; Chordata; Mammalia; Carnivora; Felidae.